Molecule: unclassified non-coding RNA, 145 nt
Filed under: soil metagenome
Description: partial internal transcribed spacer 1
Source: RNAcentral
CCGAGUUUACAACUCCCAAACCCCUGUGAACAUACCACUUGUUGCCUCGGCGGAUCAGCCCGCUCCCGGUAAAACGGACGGCCCGCCAGAGGACCCCUAAACUCUGUUUCUAUAUGUAACUUCUGAGUAAACCAUAAAUAAAUCA